Molecule: ribosomal RNA, 651 nt
Filed under: uncultured bacterium
Lineage: Bacteria
Description: bacterial SSU rRNA
Rfam family: Bacterial small subunit ribosomal RNA
Source: RNAcentral
CUGAAUAUCCCGCUGGGAGUAUGCUCGCAGAGGAAACUCAAAGGAAUUGACGGGGGCCCGCACAAGCGUGGAGUAUGUGGUUUAAUCGAUCAACGCGAAGACCUUACCAGGGUUUGACAUCCUGCGGAUCUUUUGGAAACAGAAGAGUGCCUUCGGGAGCGCAGAGACAGGUGGUGCAUGGCUGUCGUCAGCUCGUGUCGUGAGAUGUUGGGUUAAGUCCCGCAACGAGCGCAACCCACGUCGUUAGUUGCCAGCAUUCAGUUGGGCACUCUAGCGAGACCGCCGGUGAUAAACCGGAGGAAGGUGUGGAUGACGUCAAGUCAUCAUGCCCCUUACAUCCUGGGCUACACACGUACUACAAUGCUACGGACAAAGGGCAGCAAACUCGCGAGAGCUAGCAAAUCCCAUAAACCGUGGCUCAGUUCAGAUCGUAGGCUGCAACUCGCCUACGUGAAGGAGGAAUCGCUAGUAAUCGCAGGUCAGCAUACUGCGGUGAAUACGUUCCCGGGCCUUGUACACACCGCCCGUCACACCAUGGAAGUUGGCCACGCCCGAAGUCGUUACUCCAACCCUUGUGGAGGAGGGUGCCUAAGGUAGAAUUAGUGACUGGGGUGAAGUCGUAACAAGGUAACCGUAAAGACUGGAGAUCUG